GAAAUGCGAUAAGUAGUGUGAAUUGCAGAAUUCAGUGAAUCAUCGAAUCUUUGAACGCACAUUGCGCCCCUUGGUAUUCCAUGGGGCAUGCCUGUUCGAGCGUCAUUUGUACCCUCAAGCUCUGCUUGGUGUUGGGUGUUUGUCCCAUUCUUGCAUGUGGACUCGCCUUAAAGCAAUUGGCAGCCGGCAUAUUGGCCUUGGAGCGCAGCACAUUUUGCGCUUCUAGUCAUGAAUGUUGGCAUCCAUUAAGCCUAUAUUUUUGCUCUUGACCUCGGAUCAGGUAGGGAUACCCGCUGAACUUAA
Molecule: unclassified non-coding RNA, 303 nt
Filed under: uncultured Pleosporales
Lineage: Eukaryota; Fungi; Ascomycota; Dothideomycetes; Pleosporales
Description: sequence contains ITS1
Rfam family: 5.8S ribosomal RNA (bases 1-105)
Source: RNAcentral